Transfer RNA from Catenaria anguillulae PL171, 73 nucleotides. It matches the Rfam family "tRNA". Rfam says of the family: Transfer RNA (tRNA) molecules are approximately 80 nucleotides in length. NCBI's taxonomy places the organism in Eukaryota, Fungi, Blastocladiomycota, Blastocladiomycetes, Blastocladiales, Catenariaceae. The record is from Rfam.
GUCACCUUAGCUCAGUUGGGAGAGCGUUAGACUGAAGAUCUAAAGGCCCCGUGUUCAAUCCACGGAGGUGACA